RNAcentral lists this ribosomal RNA (230 nucleotides) under uncultured bacterium. RNAcentral's name for it is "partial 16S ribosomal RNA". It matches the Rfam family "Bacterial small subunit ribosomal RNA", at positions 562 to 791 of the family's 1533-position model. The record is from RNAcentral.
AAAGCGUGCGCAGGCGGUUUUGUAAGUCUGACGUGAAAUCCCCGGGCUCAACCUGGGAAUUGCGUUGGAGACUGCAAGGCUAGAAUCUGGCAGAGGGGGGUAGAAUUCCACGUGUAGCAGUGAAAUGCGUAGAGAUGUGGAGGAACACCGAUGGCGAAGGCAGCCCCCUGGGUCAAGAUUGACGCUCAUGCACGAAAGCGUGGGGAGCAAACAGGAUUAGAUACCCCGGU